RNAcentral lists this ribosomal RNA (253 nucleotides) under uncultured bacterium. RNAcentral describes it as "partial 16S ribosomal RNA". It matches the Rfam family "Bacterial small subunit ribosomal RNA", at positions 524 to 776 of the family's 1533-position model. The record is from RNAcentral.
UACAGAGGGUGCAAGCGUUAAUCGGAAUUACUGGGCGUAAAGCGUGCGUAGUCGGUUAUCUAAGUCGGGUGUGAAAUCCCCGGGCUCAACCUGGGAAUUGCAUUCGAUACUGGAUAGCUAGAGUUCGGCAGAGGGAAGCGGAAUUUCCGGUGUAGCGGUGAAAUGCGUAGAUAUCGGAAGGAACAUCAGUGGCGAAGGCGACACCCUGGACUCAUACUGACACUGAGGUGCGAAAGCGUGGGGAGCAAACAGG